CCUACGGGUGGCAGCAGUGAGGAAUAUUGGUCAAUGGGCGCGAGCCUGAACCAGCCAAGUCGCGUGAGGGAUGAAGGUUCUAUGGAUCGUAAACCUCUUUUAUAAGGGAAUAAAGUGUGGGACGUGUCCUAUUUUGUAUGUACCUUAUGAAUAAGGAUCGGCUAACUCCGUGCCAGCAGCCGCGGUAAUACGGAGGGUCCGAGCGUUAACCGGAUUUAUUGGGUGUAAAGGGUGUGUAGGCGGCCUUAUAAGUCAGCGGUGAAAGUCUGUGGCUCAACCAUAGAAUUGCCGUUGAAACUGGUGGGCUUGAGUAUGUUUGAGGCAGGCGGAAUGCGUGGUGUAGCGGUGAAAUGCUUAGAUAUAACGCAGAACCCCGAUGGCGAAGGCGGACUGCCAGGCCAUGACUGACGCUGAUGCACGAAAGCGUGGGGAUCAAACAGGAUUAGAUACCCGUGUAGUC
This 460-nucleotide ribosomal RNA is filed under the name uncultured bacterium. RNAcentral's name for it is "partial 16S ribosomal RNA". It matches the Rfam family "Bacterial small subunit ribosomal RNA", at positions 338 to 795 of the family's 1533-position model. The record is from RNAcentral.